UAGCUCAGUUGGGAGAGCGUUAGACUGAAGAUCUAAAGGUCCCUGGUUCAAUCCCGGGUUUCGGCAGCGCUUCCGUUUUAGGCGUUAGUCAUCACUACAUGUGAUUUCUGCAGUUAACAGGGUCUUUCUGCAGUUAACAGGGUCAACACCCUGUGGGUUCUCACGCGGGCUGGGGCAGUUAAGGGAAACCUUAUCGUCAUUUUCCCCUGGGAGGGAGGAUACUGGGGACAUAUGUCUUACCUUUUAAACUGCCCAGUACGAAGUUACGCCUCUGCCCUCACUUGGGACCUGGUUUGAGACAAGCUCUUCCGGAGCACUGCGCAUAGCUCACUUUCUUGAGCAACCCUGUGUCCCCGCACCCCGCUCCUCUUCUUUCGGGUUCUAGGCAGCCGUGGGCGCUGCGACCCUUCUCUCACUGUCAGAGGGGCGGGAGCUCUCGGCCUGCGCCGCCUCCGCUGCCUGCUUGGUCGCGGGCUUGCCGGGAAUGGUGACAGCCCGGGCCCCCUCUUGGCCAAAGAAGUCCUCGAAAGCGUUCGGCGCACGGGCUUUGUCCAGCUUUUUAAACCGUAACAAGGACCGGGGCCGGGCGCGGUGGCUCACGCCUGUAAUCCCAGCAUUUUGGGAAGUCGAGGCGGACGGAUUACUUGAGGUCAUGAGUUCGAGACCAGCCUGGCCAACACGAAAAACAAUAACAAGGACCCUAGAACAGCUCUUAGGUGGGGCGGGAGACAGAGAUCGGAAGCCCUUUCUAGUUUAAAUCUACACUAGGGUUAGAAGACCAAAUACAGGACGUCCAAUUAAUUUCCUUUUUUUUCUUUUUCCUUUUCUUUUCUUUUUUCUUUUUUUAAGAUGGAGUCUUGCUCCCAUGCUGGAGUGCAGUGGCGUGAUCUCGGCUGACUGUAACCUCCGCCUCCCGGGUUCAAGUGAUUCUCCUGCCUCAGCCUCCGGAGUAGCUGGGAUUACAGCCGAACUCCUGACCUCAGGUCAUCCUCCUGCCUCAGCCUCCCAAAGUGUUGGGAUUACAGGCACGAGCCACUGAACCCGGCCAAAAUUUGAAUUUCAGAGAAACAACAAAUACUUUUUAGUAUAAACAUGUCCCAAAUAUUGCAUGGAAUAUACAAAGUACAUAUUUGUUGUUUCUGUGAAAUUGGAUUUAACUGGACACCCUGUAUUUUUAUUUUCCAAAUUGCAAGUCACUUGUACAUCAUAUCCUUGCACCCCUCUGAACCCUAUGCACCACCUUCCCCACCCCAGCAAAGAUAUCCAGACGCUGUAUGCAGGAAGAACUGAAUUUCAGAGGACACCGUUUGAUCUUCAACACCUGGCAGUUUACAAAACAGAGACGGGGUGUCGCCAUGUUGCCCAGGCUGGUCUCGAACUCUGGAGCUCAAGCGAUCUGCCUGCCUCGGCCUUUCAAAGUGCUGAGACUACAGGUAUGAGUCACAGCCCCUGGCAAUGAAGGUAUUUUUUACAUGUGAUUAACGUUUAAAUCAGUAGACUCCAGGUAAAGAAGAUCACCCUUUAUAAUGUGCCUCAUUAAAUCAGCUGAAGCCUUUAAGAGCAAAGACUGGAGUUUCUGAAGAAGAAGGAAUUCUCCUAAAAACUUUGCUAUAGGCCAGGCGCGGUGGCUUACGCCUGUAAUCCCAGCAUUUUGGGAGGCCGAGACGGGCAGAUCACCUGAGGUCAGGAGUUGCAGACCAGCCUGGCCAACAUGGUGAAACCCCAUCUCUGUUAAAAAUACAAAAAUUAGCCAGGCAUGGUGGCGCAUGCCUGUAAUCCUAGCUACUUGGGAGGCUGAGACAGGAGAAUUGCUUGAACCUGGGAGGCGGAGGUUGCAGUGAGCCAAGAUUGAGCCACUCCACUCCAGCCUGGACAACAGAGCAAGACUCCAUCUCAAACAAAAACAAACAAACAAAAAAAACUUUGGUAUAGAAAACCUGCCUUCCUGAGUCUCCAGCUUACUGCCCUGCUGAAUUUAUUUAUUUAUUUAUUUAUUUAUUUAUUUAUUUAUUUAAUUUUUUGAGAGGGAGUCCUGGUCUGUCACCCAGACUGGAGUGCAGUGGCGCCAUCUGGGCUCACUGCAACCUCUGCCUCCUGGGUUCCAGAGAUUCUCCUGCCUCAGCCUCCCAAGUAGCUUGACUACAGGUGUGCACCACCACGCCUGGCUAAUUUUUGUAUUUUUAGUAGAGACGGGGUUUUACCGUGUUGGCCAGGCUGGUCUGGAACUCCUGACCUCAGGUCAUCCACCCGCCUCAGUCUCCCAAAGUGUUGGGAUUACAGGCAUGAACCACAGCACCUGGCCUGCCCUGCUGAAUUUAAACUCAAGAUGGCAACCUUAACUCUUAUCUGAAUUUUCAAACCGUUAGUCUGCCCUACAGGUUUUGGGUUUGCUGACCCCCACAAUGUGUGAACCGAGCUCUUAAAAUAAUCUUUCUCUACCUCUGUUUCUAUCUGUCUCUGUCCUACUGGUUCUGUUUCUUUGGAGAACCUGACAGCAUGCUUUAAAGUGUUACUUAUACACACAGGUAAGAGUGAAGAAUGAGAUUGUUACUAUUGUUCUGAGCAAAAGCCAACCACCUUGGGACCAAAAGUGGGAGGCAUAUUCCUAGGAAAUGUUGGGCCUAGCCUUUGCCCUAAAAAGGCAAGCCCUGUCUGUUUUCAGCCUGAAGAGGAGAGGGGGAAUCCUGGUGAGAAGCAUUUGGAAUUCAAGCUCAGAGAAGAAGACACGGAGUCCCAGCUGAGAACUCAAACUGGUAGAAGGAAGAUUAUUUUUCCUUCUCUAUAGGUGCUUGGAGGUAACGAGGGGAAAGGAGUUGAAAGGAAGGUGACAUUUCAGGUAUUGAUGGGACAGCACGUGCGAGGCCUAGAGGACUGAAAGUUCUUGAUGGGAUCUGUCAGAAGAAAACAGCUGCGUGUACAGGGGAGAAGUGGGAGGGGCGGGUCGGCUAGCGAGCUGAGACGGAGCUGCGCGUGCGUCGAAGUCGGGGCUGUGGGGGCGGGGUGGGUCCGGGGCGCGCUCACCGGAUCGCCGGCGAGCUACGGCUACCACCCGUCAUCUCUUUUCAGCUAAUCUGCUUCGCGCUACUUUUUUGAGGUGGGCACCUGGGAUGGAGGCAAGGAAUCACGAAGUGGCGUCUCCUCGGAAGGGGCAGCCUGAUGUCUUUAACCACUGAACUGUGGUUUCCAACUGGAUGCGCUUUGGGUUCAGGGCUAAGACACGCGUAGGCGGUGCAGACAGUUCAAUUCGUGGGCGGCUUUUUCUCUCCCCUGCGCGGUUUUGCAGAACUGAGGAUUCACGUUUGCCACGCAGUCUCUAAAUCCUCCUCCCAGCCCUCGCCGGAUUUCUGCAUCGGAAUUGGAUUGGAUCACACACAAAAGAAGAGCCCAGGAACUCGUUCACCACCUUGCACCUUGCCUGUUAGUUCACGGCAUAAUGGUAACAGAGUCUUCAUUAAUGGAAGCAACGUUACUACCGUGAGCCCGGAUAGCUCAGUCGGUAGAGCAUCAGACUUUUAAUCUGAGGGUCCAGGGUUCAAGUCCCUGUUCGGGCGGUAUCUUUUUUUUCCUCAUUAAAAGAGUAAGAACCAAUUUUAGGAUCUUUUGUUUGUUAACACACUGCAAAAGAAGGGAAUAAAGUCCUGGAUUGUGUAAACUGCGACCCCAAACACUUCUCGGAGGGUAAGCCCUCU
RNAcentral lists this transfer RNA (3689 nucleotides) under Homo sapiens (human). RNAcentral's name for it is "HSALNT0175581". The stretch from base 3479 to 3551 matches the Rfam family "tRNA". The record is from RNAcentral. Lineage: Eukaryota; Metazoa; Chordata; Mammalia; Primates; Hominidae.